This 369-nucleotide unclassified non-coding RNA is filed under the name Hevea brasiliensis (rubber tree). Lineage: Eukaryota; Viridiplantae; Streptophyta; Magnoliopsida; Malpighiales; Euphorbiaceae. The record is from RNAcentral.
GAAAUGUUGACCACAGUUAGUCAUGCAGUCCCAAGUGUUGGGGAUCACCCGGUUCUUGGAAUUGGAACCGACAUAAAGACUAUCUUCACUGCACCCAGUGGCCUUGCAGAAAGCUCUGGGAUUUGGUGAUGUCUCUCUUUUGAAUCCAAUAUUAGUCCAUUGCAAAACUUCUGGGAAGCCCUUUUAUGCUAUUGUCCACCGGGUAACGGGUAGCUUAAUAAUUGACUUUGAACCAGUGAAGCCUUAUGAGGUCCCCAUGACAGCUGCUGGGGCCUUGCAGUCAUACAAGCUUGCAGCUAAAGCAAUUACACGGUUGCAGUCGUUGCCAAGUGGGAGCAUGGAAAGGCUUUGUGAUACAAUGGUUCAGGA